Molecule: ribosomal RNA, 274 nt
Filed under: uncultured bacterium
Lineage: Bacteria
Description: partial 16S ribosomal RNA
Rfam family: Bacterial small subunit ribosomal RNA
Source: RNAcentral
ACACGUAAGGGGCAAGCGUUGUUCGGAAUGAUGGGGCGUAAAGGGCGCGUAGGCGGUUUUACAAGUCUGGUGUGAAAGGCCUCAGCUUAACUGAGGGACCGCGCUGGAAACUGUAAGACUAGAAUCUAGGAGGGGAAGCUGGAAUUCCUGGUGUAGGGGUGAAAUCUGUAGAUAUCAGGAAGAACACCGGUGGCGAAGGCGAGCUUCUGGCCAUAGAUUGACGCUGAGGUGCGAAAGCGUGGGGAGCGAACAGGAUUAGAAACCCUAGUAGUCC